AGUGAACGCUGGCGGCAGGCCUAACACAUGCAAGUCGAACGGCAGCACAGUAAGAGCUUGCGCUUAUGGGUGGCGAGUGGCGGACGGGUGAGGAAUACAUCGGAAUCUACUCUUUCGUGGGGGAUAACGUAGGGAAACUUACGCCAAUACCGCAUACGACCUACGGGUGAAAGCAGGGGAUAUUCGGACCUUGCGCGAUUGAAUGAGCCGAUGUCGGAUUAGCUGGUUGGCGGGGUAAAGGCCCAGCAAGGCGACGAUCCGUAGCCGGUCUGAGAGGAUGGUCGGCCACACUGGAGCUGAGACGCGGUCCAGGUUCCUACGAGAGGCAGCAGAGGGGAAUAUUGGACAAUGGGCGCAAACCUUAUCCAGCCAUACCGCGUGGGUGGAGGAGACCUUCGGGUUGUAAUGCCCUUUUGUUGGGAAAAAAAAGCAGCAGGUUAAUACCCCGCUGUUCUGACGGUACCCAGAAAAUAAGCACCGGCUAACUUCGUG
This 492-nucleotide ribosomal RNA is filed under the name uncultured bacterium. RNAcentral describes it as "partial 16S ribosomal RNA". It matches the Rfam family "Bacterial small subunit ribosomal RNA", at positions 29 to 507 of the family's 1533-position model. The record is from RNAcentral.